This 567-nucleotide ribosomal RNA is filed under the name Rhodotorula sp. MAC-2011b. RNAcentral's name for it is "eukaryotic LSU rRNA". The stretch from base 181 to 334 matches the Rfam family "5.8S ribosomal RNA". The record is from RNAcentral. Lineage: Eukaryota; Fungi; Basidiomycota; Microbotryomycetes; Sporidiobolales; Sporidiobolaceae.
UCCGUAGGUGAACCUGCGGAAGGAUCAUUAGUGAAAACAAGGGCGUCCAAUUUAACUUGGAGCCCGAACUCUCACUUUCUAACCCUGUGCAUCUGUUAUUGGUUAGUAGCUCUUCGGAGUGAACUCCAUUCACUUACAAACACAAAGUUUAUGAAUGUAUACAAAAUUAUAACAAAACAAAACUUUCAACAACGGAUCUCUUGGCUCUCGCAUCGAUGAAGAACGCAGCGAAAUGCGAUACGUAAUGUGAAUUGCAGAAUUCAGUGAAUCAUCGAAUCUUUGAACGCACCUUGCGCUCCUUGGUAUUCCGAGGAGCAUGCCUGUUUGAGUGUCAUGAAAUCUUCAACCCACCUCUUUCUUAGUGAAUCUGGUGGUGCUUGGUUUCUGAGCGCUGCUCUGCUUCGGCUUAGCUCGUUCGUAAUGCAUUAGCAUCCGCAACCGAACUUCGGAUUGACUUGGCGUAAUAGACUAUUCGCUGAGGAUUCUAGUCUCGUACUAGAGCCGGGUUGGGUUAAAGGAAGCUUCUAAUCCUAAAGUCUAUUUUUUGAUUAGAUCUCAAAUCAGGUA